Molecule: ribosomal RNA, 415 nt
Filed under: Sarcophaga omikron
Lineage: Eukaryota; Metazoa; Arthropoda; Insecta; Diptera; Sarcophagidae
Description: partial 16S ribosomal RNA
Rfam family: Bacterial large subunit ribosomal RNA
Source: RNAcentral
UUUAAAUGGCCGCAGUAUACUAACUGUGCAAAGGUAGCAUAAUCAUUAGUCUUUUAAUUGAAGGCUGGUAUGAAUGGUUGGACGAGAUAUUAACUGUUUCAUAUAAAUUUAUAAUAGAAUUUUAUUUUUUAGUCAAAAAGCUAAAAUAUAAUUAAAAGACGAGAAGACCCUAUAAAUCUUUAUAUAUAAAUUAUUAGAAUUUUGUAGAUUUUUUUUAUUAUAAUAAUUAAUUAUAUUUUAUUGGGGUGAUAUUAAAAUUUAAUAAACUUUUAAUUUUUUUGUAACAUUAAUUUAUGGAUAGUUGAUCCGUUUAUAACGAUUAAAAAAAUAAGUUACUUUAGGGAUAACAGCGUAAUUUUUUUGGAGAGUUCAUAUCGAUAAAAAAGAUUGCGACCUCGAUGUUGGAUUAAGAUAU